GCGCCAAUUACUGUUUUUCAGGGGUAUCAUUUGCGCCAAAUUUGGUUUUCCAAAUGUAUCAAUUUGCGCCAAUAUUCGGAACUCAUUUGCGCCAAUUUACCUGUUCACAUAUCUAUGAUCAUAUAUAUUAAUGAUUAAUAUUCUUUCUUAUUUUUUGCUUAAAAAGUAUCAUAUUUUCGGAGAUAUUUCAUCAUGAAAAUGAACAUCUGGAGAGAAAUGCCUUGAGAUGUGUUAGACAAUGUACAGAGAGAGAAAAAAAA
This 260-nucleotide long non-coding RNA is filed under the name Mytilus galloprovincialis (Mediterranean mussel). Lineage: Eukaryota; Metazoa; Mollusca; Bivalvia; Mytilida; Mytilidae. The record is from RNAcentral.